RNAcentral lists this ribosomal RNA (564 nucleotides) under Triticum aestivum (bread wheat). RNAcentral's name for it is "partial small subunit ribosomal RNA". Lineage: Eukaryota; Viridiplantae; Streptophyta; Magnoliopsida; Poales; Poaceae. The record is from RNAcentral.
AUGAGUGCCUUUUGUUGGAACUGUAGCGGAGCGGGUAAACCUGCGACAGUUCGAGAAAUUCGCGAGUUCGCGAUGAAGUUUACCCCUACCAUGCUAUGUAUUGUUGAAACACAGAUAAGCAGAGCACGUGUAGAAGCUUUAGUUGGAAUUUUAGGUUUUGAUAAUUCGUAUGCAAUAAACAAUCAAGUAAGAAGUGGAGGAUUGGGUAUGUUUUGGAAUAACAAUUGUAAUGUUGAAAUUUUGGGAGACUUUGCGUACCACAUUGAUGCUAGGGUCACAGAGACGGGUCAGGACCCGUGGUGCAUCACAUGCAUGUAUGGGGAGGCCCAAACACAUCUAAGGCACCAAACUUGGGAUGUCCUCAAGGGAAUCAACACCAUGAGCGGUUUACCUUGGCUUUGUUUUGACGACUUCAAUGAAGUGCUACUUCCGGAGGAGCACGAUGGAGUAGCGGAGAGAAGUGACACACAGAUACAAGCCUUCCACGAUGUAGUUGAUGUGUGCAUGCUCAUGGAUCUUGGCUACCAGGGACGACCCUGGACUUUUGAGAAGAAGGUUACAUGA